UGCAUGGCCUUUGCCUUGAGAUGCAGGUGU
RNAcentral lists this non-coding RNA (30 nucleotides) under Homo sapiens (human). Lineage: Eukaryota; Metazoa; Chordata; Mammalia; Primates; Hominidae. The record is from RNAcentral.